RNAcentral lists this ribosomal RNA (406 nucleotides) under uncultured bacterium. RNAcentral's name for it is "partial 16S ribosomal RNA". It matches the Rfam family "Bacterial small subunit ribosomal RNA", at positions 30 to 526 of the family's 1533-position model. The record is from RNAcentral.
AUUGAACGCUGGCGGCAGGCCUAACACAUGCAAGUCGAGCGAGCGGCGGACGGGUGAGUAAUUUCUGGGAAACUGCCUGAUGGAGGGGGAUAACUACUUGAAACGGUAGCUAAUACCGCAUACCAUCAGAUGUGCUCAGAUGGGAUUCGCUAGUAGGUGGGGGAACGGCUCACCUAGGCGACGACCCCUAGCUGGUCUGAGAGGAUGACCAGCCAGACUGGAACGGAGACACGGUCCAGACUCCUACGGGAGGCAGCAGUGGGGAAUAUUGCACAAUGGGCGCAAGCCUGAUGCAGCCAUGCCGCGUAUAUGAAGAAGGCCUUCGAGUUGUAAAGCACUUUCAGCGAGGAGGCGUUACUCGCAGAAGAAGCACCGGCUAACUCCGUGCCAGCAGCCGCGGUAAUAC